GAAUGUCGUCAGCAAUUUUGUUUUGCGCUACUUCCGAAACGAAAAUCGAACCAUCAUAAACGAAAAAAUUGACGAUGCCGUCAAAACAAGUCCGUGUUCAAGAUAAAAUCGAAAUUUAGGAAAUAUUUAACGAUAAUUAAAAAUAGUUGUUUCACUUGAAGAAAGUUAUGAAAUUAAAAUUGUUAAAUUGCUCGAAAUCAAUAGAAAAGGAGUAAAGUGGGCCAUUGUGUAUAAUUUACGUGAAAGCAGUGGCAAAAACGAGAUAAAAAGCAGUGAAAGAUAGACGAAAAGUGAAACGAAUGAAAAAGUAUAUAACUGCUAAUUAAAUAGUAAAUUAUUCAACAGUGAGCAAGGAGCAAAAGUAAAGUACAGCCAUACAAAAGACCUCGUCAGGCAGGUGGACGCCCCACUAGCGACGUCCAUCUCUAAAAUCUAAAGCUGGGACUGAUUUUUGUACCUAAGCUGAACCUGCCACUACCCUUCCAAGGGCGAACAAACUGACCGACCUUCUCUGAGUCGACGACGGCCAAUUUAUGUUUGUUGAGAAAUCGUUUCAAAUUCGAAGCUGAAUAAGGUAAUACAAAAUUGAUUGCCCCACUUUUAUUAGGACAUCGCCCUG
Long non-coding RNA from Rhagoletis pomonella (apple maggot), 619 nucleotides. RefSeq lists it as uncharacterized. Lineage: Eukaryota; Metazoa; Arthropoda; Insecta; Diptera; Tephritidae. The transcript is spliced from 2 exons. The record is from RefSeq and is a predicted model, not a curated record.